RNAcentral lists this long non-coding RNA (1538 nucleotides) under Malus domestica (apple). RNAcentral's name for it is "long non-coding RNA (MDOM_LNC001676)". Lineage: Eukaryota; Viridiplantae; Streptophyta; Magnoliopsida; Rosales; Rosaceae. The record is from RNAcentral.
ACUUCUUUAAAUUACAUUCUCCUAAUUACAUAUUCUUUGGACUCAUCGUUUAAGCAUAUAACAUUUAUAUAAGACGGCUUAAAACAAUAAUCUAUGCCCUUUAUAUUAAACUAUAUUAAUUUAACAUGUGAAAUGUCCGUAAAGUAUCAUUAUAUGAUUGGUUUUAGGGCACAUUUCCAACAAGCGUCCUGUAAGUCCCCUCCACACUUUUUGAUCCAUUUAGCCUCCCACCAAGUGGCGAAAGUUGAGGUACACUCCAAAUUAAGGGCCAAAGGCUUUUGGGUAACUUUGCUCAUAACUUAAAGGCUACGUCGGGCAACUUGGAAGAUAUCUUCAUGAGGGAAGUGGAGGCGAUAAGAAGCACCAUAAUGGAGGCGAUAAGAAUGGCCUGCCUGAAGCUUAGCUGCCUGUUGCAGAAGUUUGGAUGAUAAACUUCCAACUCUCGUUCAUAGCAAUCACUACGGACUCCUCAGGCUAUAAUUGAAUACAACUGAAAAAUCUCUUCUUGCAAAAAGGGUUGGCAUCUUCCCCGAAUGCAUCUUGAAAGGCUUGAUCAGAGAAACAGGGAUACUUCCUAAAGAUGGAUGCCCCCUACUCCAAGUCUGCUCGAGUCCUACAGAUCAUGAAGAAAUAAAAGCAGGCAAAUGUGGAAUGAUCAGUGGGAUGAGAUUCGGCCAAGAUUCGGGCAGAGCCACUACUUCUGGAACUCCAAGUUGGUUACCCGAAAUUCUGGGAAGUACCAUUGUAGCCAUAAUUGAACCAUCCAGAUUAGUCCAUUAAGGUUGGUCUCGAAUGGUUCACCUAGAGUCAUGUCGAAAAUAAGAUGGUAAAGAUGGGAAAUGAGGAAUGGGCCCGUGGCAACAUCGCCAAAACUAUGAAGAGCUUCUAGUAAAAGGAUAUUCAACCUUCACUCCCUUGGAUUUUUUGGGGAAGACAUGCUUGUUAAGCCAGUAUAAAAGGAAGUAUGUGCUCUUGAGCUAAGUUUACAUAAGGAGAACUAGCACCAAAGUUCUUCUUCAUAAAAGGGAUCAAACCUUUGAAAGAAGUCUCGUAGCUUUUGAAAGUUACAGAGUGAUAUUCCAAUUGGAUUGGGGAGGCCGAAGAACCUGAACUCUCAGCUGUCGGACGGGAAGGAGGAGCCCAGUCAUGAGUAACAUCCACGAUUAUGCCCGAAGGUCUUAGCCCAAAUACUUGUGCCAUAUCUAGAAUUGUUGGGGACAUAGGGCCCAUCUUGAAAUCGAAGGUAUUUGUGCCUGAAUUCCAGAAAAGAAUAGCAGUGGUGAGUCACUCUGGUUUGGCGAUUAUGGUAAUUUUCGAAAGCAUUGUCAACUCAUAGAUGCCAUUGUUCAUCCACUUCCGUUCAAAAAUUGGCUCGAGACCAUUUAUCCACUAAACCCAUGCCGUGUCAUUCAUCAGAAGAAAGCCACGACAAUAUUGCAACCACUUAGAUGAAGAAAUGCCUGACUUGGCCGUGAAUGGGUUAGGAGCGAACCAAUUGUCCCUAGGCAUGUUAGUCUCUACUACAUUUGGAACCCAAA